ACUCCCCUGAAACCUCGACCCCUUUACAUAAGGUGCUGUACAAUGCAGAUUGAAGAGAGAUCCCUCUCUUGAAACCUCAGCAGACAACACAGGCAAAAGUUGAAAGGGUGAGCAGAAGCCCAGAGAGCUGGUAUGAGUAACUGCGCGGUCAUGCAGCAAGGCAGCAGCGCUGCCACGAGCACAGCGUCAGCCUCCUGGCUCCUCCUUCAGUGCUGUCCUGUUGGAUCCUGUCAGAAGGCUCCAUCUCGUCCCCAGAUCCUCAGAGUACAGCUUGAUCAUCUCUAGAAGGAUACCGGUUUGGAGCUCAGCAGUAUAAGUAAGGAUAAACACUAAUUCGUAGUUUCUAAUUUGCUUAAAAUAGCAUCAAAAGUGGCUUUUCCCAUUUUUAUUUACUGCUGCACUGGCAGGUACUGUACCACUGAGAGCUACCCUCAUGUUACAGCAUUGCUUGACAACACCACCAGCCUUGGCUUUUCCAGUCAGCAUCCCACAAAGCAACGCAAGCUGCUGGGUUGCAGAACGGUGACGUGAGAGCACACAACGGCCAAAGCCCCACGGGCAUGAACUGAGGCGACAGCUCCGAUUUUUGAGCCUGCUUGGGGUUCUGCCAUGGUUACAGGGCUCGCCUGCUUUACACACCUUCAUUGCAACUGAGGGUGUAAGUGGAGGGAAGCUGCAGGCAGUACUGCAGCCGUACCGAUGAAGCACGAGAUGCCCUCAGUACUGCCGGGCAGGGCGAGUGGCACUGAGCACGAGGUGCCCGAGCAGCGCGCUGCCGUCCCACCAGCGCUUCCCACCAGCGCUGACUUUGCUGCACUGCCACUGGAGGCCAAGUGCCCUGGAAUAAAACUGCCCCGUGUUUGCCUACCAGCACUGCUAUCAGCCUCCUAAUUGCACUGUAACCCGAGCCUGGUGACACAGGAUGUUUAUAGGGCUCGACGUUAUGCUGGUUCGUGACAAAGGCUUAUCACAUGAUGCCACAGCAUCAAAUCCUCGCUGCUUUAAAUCCUCACUGCAUUAAAUCCUCAUCUGGUCAUGGGAGCACAAAGAUGCCUGACCGAAGAGCAGAAUAUACAGCCCAAACUCUACCAAGCAUAUUUUUAAAGUACAGGGUGUAACUAAGUUAGGAUAUGUAUGUAUUUCCUGGUCAUGUCAGGAUAUAGGCUUAAAUUUCAGGUCUUGCAAAAAAAAUCUCUCUUCUGUGUUUCUUUAUUUAACAGCAGCAUUUACCCACUCAAAAACCCAGUGAUCAGACCAUCUGCAGAACCAAGGAGGCAGCGUACAGCUGCUGUGAGACGAAAUGCUCAGCCACAAUUACAGUUGUUCUGCAGCCAAUAAAUCCAUCUGUGGGUCUGAGCACGUACAUCCCAUCUCCCCGGGGCUGAUCAUCCAAAUGACAUCUGGCAGAAAGGCAUGAGCGGUGCUCGCAGAGGCCAUGUCUGGUUACAGCUGGAGGUGCAGGAGGGGUGUGCGGCGCCACCACUACUUCUUCCCAGGCUGGUUUCCUUCCAGCCACUGCAGCCUCGCAGCCAGACCUGCCCAGAGCUCCCCAGCACCACCCGGGCACUGCUCAGCUGCCACUCUACAGGAAUUUGGAUAAAGCAAACAGCGACUGACAGAGAAGCCAGAACUGAAGAUUUUACUGACAGGCGUGACAUGGUCGGCUUUUCUUAAAGUUACAUUAUCAGAUGAGGGCAUUACAACACCCUGACUUUUCUAGACCAAGAGCUCCUUAGGUAGCCCGCAGGGUUUGUGAGAAAGGAUAAAACUCACAGUGGGAAGGAAGCUCCAUUAACUCAUUCCUAUGAAAGGAACUAAACAACCUUCUUCUGAACACUGUUUUUACCUCUCGUUAUUAAUGGACCUUUGCUGCUUUGCUCAAAAUCUUUAUUGCUUAUUUCUCUUCCCUUCAAUUUUCUUCAGCUGUUAAGUGUUACGCCUGCUCUUCAAUAUGCCUUUCCUUACUGCUUCCUUUUCAGACUGCAAAAACGCUGAGAGAUUGCACUCCUGGACAUUUGUGCAACUGCGAAAACAAGUAAAAACCUCUUGCAAAAUUUACAAUGCAAUGCCAGGGUCAUGUAAAUAAAAUCUCCCAAAUAAUUGCCAGAUUUUA
This is a non-coding RNA of Anas platyrhynchos (mallard), 2113 nucleotides long. Lineage: Eukaryota; Metazoa; Chordata; Aves; Anseriformes; Anatidae. The record is from RefSeq and is a predicted model, not a curated record.